Molecule: ribosomal RNA, 243 nt
Filed under: uncultured bacterium
Lineage: Bacteria
Description: partial 16S ribosomal RNA
Rfam family: Bacterial small subunit ribosomal RNA
Source: RNAcentral
CGUAGAUAACCUGCCUGUAUGACCGGGAUAACAGUUGGAAACGACUGCUAAUACCGGAUAGGCAGAGAGGAGGCAUCUCUUCUCUGUUAAAGUUGGGACACAACGCAAACAGAUGGAUCUGCGGUGCAUUAGCUAGUUGGUGAGGUAACGGCCCACCAAGGCGAUGAUGCAUAGCCGGCCUGAGAGGGCGAACGGCCACAUUGGGACUGAGACACGGCCCAAACUCCUACGGGAGGCAGCAUG